GAAGAACGCUGGCGGNAUGCUUAACACAUGCAAGUCGAACGGAAUCUUUAGAGGAUUUAGUGGCGGACGGGUGAGUAACGCGUGANAAUCUGGCUUCANGUCUGGGACAACAGUUGGAAACGACUGCUAAUACCAGGAUGUGCCGAGUAGGUGAAAGGCUUCGCUGNCUGAAGAUGAGCUUGCCGUCUGAUUAACUAGUUGGUGGGGUAAGAGCCUACCAAGGCGACAAUCAGUAGCUGGUCUGAGAGGAUGAUCAGCCACACUGGGNCUGAGACACGGCCCAGACUCNUACGGGAGGCANCAGUGGGGAAUUUUCCCCANUGGGCGAAAGCCUGACGGANCAAUACCGNNUGNGGGANGAAGGCUCUUGGGUUGUAAACCUCUUUUCUCAGGGAANAAAAAAAUGACGGUACCUGAAGAAUAAGCAUCGGCUAACUCCGUGCCAGCNGCCGCGGUAAUACGGAGGAUGCAUGCGUUAUCCGGAAUGAUUGGGCGUAAAGGGUCCGCANGUGGCUGUGUAAGUCUGCUGUUAAAGAGUCAUGCUCAACAUGAUCAAGGCAGUGGAAACUACAAGGCUAGAGUGCGUUCNGGGCAGANGGAAUUCCUGGUGUACGGAAU
Molecule: ribosomal RNA, 618 nt
Filed under: Anabaena inaequalis A487
Lineage: Bacteria; Bacillati; Cyanobacteriota; Cyanophyceae; Nostocales; Nostocaceae
Description: partial 16S ribosomal RNA
Rfam family: Bacterial small subunit ribosomal RNA
Source: RNAcentral